Lactuca sativa (garden lettuce) is the source of this 107-nucleotide small nucleolar RNA. The record is from RefSeq and is a predicted model, not a curated record. Lineage: Eukaryota; Viridiplantae; Streptophyta; Magnoliopsida; Asterales; Asteraceae.
AGAUCAUUUUGGGGACAGUUUCUAAGCAAUCCCUUAUAGCGCUUUCAUGCCUCGUAUAAAGACUCUCCCACGUUUUGCUCAAAUUUUGCAAUGACAUUCUUUAAUUU